Pleuronectes platessa (European plaice) is the source of this 623-nucleotide non-coding RNA. The record is from the annotation of a RefSeq genome assembly. Lineage: Eukaryota; Metazoa; Chordata; Actinopteri; Pleuronectiformes; Pleuronectidae.
AUUCUGCUUCUUCAUAUUUAGUGUAAAUCCAAACAGCAACGCUCCUGAGUUUGUGUCCCACGUCACCUUCAGUCCGCUCAGAGCAGAGGAAUCAUUUCCAUAGAGAGGAGGCUUUGCAUCGUCAGCUGAUCCUCCACUGAACUGAGAAGCUUUAUAGUCCUGUGACUCCAACUCUGCAGGACUCAGACCCGUCAGUCGACCACAACCACCAUGACUCUCAUCACCCUCCUCAUCUGGACGCUGGCCUGCUGCAGCUUCACAGGAUGCAGCGGCCAGGUGACUGUGACUCAGCCUCCAGUCGUGACAUUUACUCCAGGAUCCACUGUCACACUGACCUGUAAAACCAACCCCAGUGUUCAUAGGGAUGGUGCUGGUGAUGAUUGGCUGUCCUGGUACCAGCAGAAACCUGGACAGGCUCCACAGCUCCUAAUAUACUGGGCUAACAGGAUUCAAUCAGGAACACCAGCUCGGUUUAGUGGCAGUGGAAGCAGCUCUGACUUCUCUUUGACCAUCAGUGGAGUUCAGAGUGAAGAUGCAGCAGUUUAUUACUGUCAGAGUGUCCAUAAAGUAAACGGAGCAGAUGUGUCCACACAGUGAUUUAGAGCCGUACAAAAACCUCCCUC